AUAUAACUUAACAUUUAUUUUAAUUGACACAAUUGUAUAUAUUUAUGGGCUACAGUUGUGAUUUAAAUAAAUGUAUACAAUUAUAAUGACCAGAGUAACUGGCAUAUGCACCAUCUCAAACAUCUAUCCUCUUUGUAUUGGGAACAUUAGUUAUUUUAAAAUAUACAAUUAAUUAUUUCAACCACAGUUACCCUUCUCUGCUACAGAAUGCUAUAAGUUUUUCCUCCUGUCCAAUUGCACCCUGGACCCACCAACCAUCUUCUCUCUAUCCCCUAUAAGCUAUAGCAUUUUAUCCCAGGCUCCAAUAACUUACAGCAUUUUUUCCAGAGGCUUAAAACAAUCAUGCUAUAUUUUCUCAUGAUUCUACUCUACUCCAAGUGGUAUUGACUUGAUAAGUUCAUAAUCAGCAGGGGAGCCAAAGGGAGACUGGCUGGUGCUGGCAUUGACUGCUGGCUGGGCCUCUCUCUCUGCAUGGCCUCCUGUUGUCCCAUUGACUAGACCAAGCAUCUUCACAUAGUGACAGAGGCAUUCUAAGAGAACAAAAGUAAAAGCUAUGGAGUCUCCUGAGGCCUGUAUUAGGCAGCUUCAUGUUACUAAGCUGAAAUACACAAGGCAAUUAACUUAGAAUAAGGUUUGCCUCUGAAGUGGCACAUGCAUAUGAUAUCAGUUACUCAGGAAGCUGAGGCAGGAAGAUCACAAGUUCAAGGCCAGUUUGGGUAAUUUGGCAAGACCCUAUCUCAAAAUGAAAAGAUCUGGGAGUGUAGCUCACUGGUAGAGCACUUUCCUAGCAUGCGCAAGGUCCUGGAUUGAUCCCGCACACUGAAAAAAAAGUUGGUAUAAUAAAAUCAAAGUUAACAAUCAAUGGUGGACAUGGAGCUGGGACUUGGAUUUGGACAAGUCCUUUAAAUAGGAAGCUUUUUAACGCCUUGGAAGUUGUAUUUGACUUAUAAGAAAUACAAAUUGCUCGUGAGUUUUGAAGAAAUCUAAUUUAAAAAGUAGCAACUAGCCAGAGUAUUGUACACCCCAGAGCUCUUUCAGUUUUGUUUCUUUUCCAACUUGUCUUCCUUGCAAACAGGAGCCCACAGGGGUUGCUGCUCCUUCUAGAGAAAACUUCCAGACAGCCCAGGGGGUCCUUCCUGAGGUACAAACCCUCAUAGAUUAAGACAGGUAUGGCUGGGGCUGGGGAUGUGGCUCAAGCGGUAGCGCGCUCGCCUGGCAUGCGUGCGGCCCGGGUUCGAUCCUCAGCACCACGUACAAACAAAGAUGUUGUGUCAGCCGAGAACUAAAAAAUAAAUAUUAAAAAAUUCUCUCUCUCUCUCUCUCUCUCUCUCUCCCCCCACUCUCUCUUUAAAAAAAAAAAAAAAAAAAAAAAGACAGGUAUGGCUGACAGAAACAUUGAUGUUUCACAGGUAAUGCCAGCCAGUGAGCAAUUUAGAUAACAAAAUGUGGUGCUGUCAUUAAAGGUUAUUAUGAGCAUUUUAACCUAACGACCUUGAUAAUUUGCCCAAAUGUUAUAGAUUUCCAGCACUUUCAGCAUUCCUAAUCAAUAACACUUCAUUUAUUAUUGCUAUAGUUCGGAACUUAAGUGGCCCCCAAAGGUCCAUAUAUUAAGAGUUUAAGUCCUGGCCGGGCACAGCAGCACAUACCUGUAAUCCCAGUGGUUCUGGAGGCUGAGGCAGGAGGAUCACAAGUUCAAAGCCAGCCUCAGCAAUGGCGAGGUGCUAAGCAACUCAAUGAGACCCUGUCUCUAAAUAAAAUACAAAAUAGGGCUGGGGAUGUGGCUCAGUGGUCGAGUGCCCCUGAGUUCAAUCCCUGUACAAAAAAAAAAAAGCGCCCAGACUGGCACUUUUUAGUAUAGCCUUUAAGAAGUGGAGGCUGGGGUAGGUCUUCAGGUCACUGGGGACAUGCCCUGGUAGGAAUUUUGGGGCAAUUACAAGACCCUGAUCUCUUCCUCUUCAUUUUCUGCCAUGAGGUGAAUGGUUUUGCUCUGCCAUCCACUGAUGCCAUGAUGUUCUGACUUGCCACAGGCCCAAAAGCAAGAGGGACAACCAAUCAUGGACUGGAACUUCCAAAACUGUGAGCCGAAAUAAACCUUAUGUCUUCAUCAGUUGAUUGUCUUGAAUAUUUGUUAUAGUGAUGGAGAGCAGAUUAACACAAUGACAUUCUUUACUGUGUUUCAGAUGCCAGGCACGAUGAUACCCGUUUUAUAAAUUAGGAGAGUGAGGAACGGAGAGGAUUUGCGUGCUUCAUAUAAGUGCCAGAGAUGACUCUCAGGUUUAAACUAUAACAAAUAUCUGAGAUGAUCAACUAAUAAAGAGAGGCUUAUUUCAGCUCAUGGAGAUUCCACACAGCACCACUAAAAUCCCAUUGAUAAUAGCAACAAGACCUAUGAAAUACCCCUUUAGAAGCCCCUGUGCAAGCCCUUUUAGGGAAAAUUAUAAAGCUUUCCUGAGACAUCAAGGACUUCUUUAAAUAGAGAAAUAUACUACAUUCAUGAGUAAAGAAACUUAAUAUUAUAAAAAUAUAAUUUCUCUUCAACUCAAUAAUUUUAAUGCAACUUAAUCAAGGUUUCGAGAUUUUUCACGGAACAGGGCUGGAGCUACAUGUAGCUCAGUGGUAGAGUACUUGCCUAGCAUGUACAAACUCCUGGGUUUUAUCCCCAGCAAUCCCUCCCAGCAAUCCCUUCCCCCAAUUUUUUCCCACGGAAAUGCAUUCUUCAUAGUGAGGAGUAAAUAUGCAAUAAAACCCAAGAUUAUUUGAAAAAGGGUGCUUUGUCUAUCUGACAUUAAGACAUGCUACAAAUCAGUAAUACUAAUAAUGGACUUGAUGCAAAGUGGACUUUAGGUCAAUAAAACAGAAUAGCCCAAAACAGAAGAGUCCCAUACAUAUAAGGAGGUUUGUUAUAUGGUACAGACAGCAUUUCAAAACUAUGGUUCAAGAUUCAAGAAAUGGGUCCUGGGUUUGUCUCAGUGGUGGGGCACUUACCUCACACAUAUGAGGCACUGGGUUUGACCCUCAGCACCACAAAUAAAUAAAUAAUAAAGGCUUUGUGUCCAUCUACAACUAAAAAUAUUAAAAAAAAAAAAAAAAGGUUCAAGAAAUGGUUUGAGAGGCUGGGGAUAUAGAUCAGUUGGUAGAUUGCUUGCCUUGCAUGUACAAGGCCCUGGGUUCAAUCCCCAGCACCACACACAAAAAUAAAUAAAUAAAUAAAUAGUUUAAGAAGUAGUUGGUAGCAACUGGCUAUCUAUAGAGGGGAAAGAAAAUCAAAUUCCUACUUCAUACCAUGCAUACCAGCAAAUUCCAAGUGGAUUUAAAAUAUAUAUUUUAUACAAAUAUAUAUACAUAUUAGUUGUAUAUAUAUAAAUAUAUUUUAGUUGUAAUUGGACACAAUACCUUUAUUUUAUUUAUUUAUAUGUGGUGCUGAGGAUCAAACCCAGAGUCUUGCACGUGCUAGGCGAAUGUUCUACCACUGAGCCACAACCCAGCCUGCCAAGUGGAUUUUAAAACAAUGUAAAGCCAGACAUGAUAGCACACGCCUGUAAUCCCAGAGGCUCAGGGAAGCUGAGGCAGAAGGAUCACAAGUUCAAAGCCAGCCUCGGAAAAAGGAAGGUACUAAACAACUCAGCGAGACCCUGUUUGUAAAUAAAAUACAAAAUAGGACUGGGGACAUGGCUCAGGGGUUGAGUGCCCCUGAUUCAAUUCCCAGUACCCCCACCCCCACCCCCCAAAAAAAGUAAAAACAAAAUUUAAACAUAUUUGAAAAAAUAUAUUUUGAAAAAAACUUGAUGAUUGUACUAGUUAGGAUUCUUGGUCCUAACAGAACCAAUAACAACUAAAAAAAAAAAAAAAAACCUGUUAACUUUGAUUAAAAAAAAAAAAAGGAAUUAAUGUAUUGGCAGGAGACAAUAAGUUAACAAGUGGAUAGGAUGUUGCAGAAAAUAGCAAGAAUCAAAAGUCCUGCAGGGUGCCAGAGCAUACACCUGUAAUCCUAGUGACUCAGGAGGUAGAGGCAGGAAAACUACAAGUUUGAGGCCAGCCUCAGCAACUUAGCAAGACCCUGUUUCAAAACAAAACAAAAUGGAUUGGGGAUAUAGUAAUUCAGUGGUGCACCCCUGGGAUAAAUCCUCAGAACAACAAAAAAAUCCUUUAAGAUCACACAAAAGGAGACCAGGUGUGGUGGUGCAUGCCUGUGGUUCCAGCUACUUUAGGAGGCUGGGGCAGGGAUCACUGGAGUCCAGCAAUUCCAGGCCAGCUGGUGCAACAUGAUCUGACCCAUCCCAAAAAAAAGGAAAGAAAGCCGGCAGGUACAAGGGAAGAUCCAUCAAGGCACAGGGCAAUUAGUGUGUAAAUGUGACUGAAUUAUAAAGAACUAGAAACAGCAGGAAUGUGGAGCUGAAUCCCAUCCUCAGGAAUAUGAUGUCACAGCCCCUGGGAGAGUGCUCUGACAGCGCUGGUGAAACUGAGCCUGCCCUGCCACCUAAUAAGUCCCACCUCUAGCAUCCACCCUGAGAAAUGGAAUGACGCCUAAAGACACGUGCCUAAGGAGCAAAAAAUGGGAACAACCUCAACAGUGUCCAUAGUCAAAGAGAUAAAGAGAAUAGAACAUGGUGUCCUGUUGGAAGGAAGUGGCAGGGCUGGGGGUGGAGCUGAGGUAGAGUGCCUGCCCAGCUCCUGCCAGGCAUUGGGCUCCAUCCCCAGGAGAGCAGCAGUCGGGCACAUCAUAGAUUAAUUAAAAGUCUUACCGAGAGGGAAAAAGCAAGUUGCAGAAUUAUGCAAUUUAGCAAGGCAACAUUAUGCCAUACUUUCUAUGUGGAAUGUAGCACAGAGCAUAAAUGCUAAGUUUUGUUUCUUAAGAUUAAAAGGUUGUGGCUCAGUGGUAGAGCACUUGCCUUGCAUGGGUGAGGUACUGGGUUCGACCCUCAGCACCACCUUAAAAUAAAUAAAUAAAUAAAGAUUUUUUUAAAAAAAGGAUUGGAGCUGGGCACAGUUGUGUGCACCUGUAAUCCCAGCGGCUAGGGAGGUUGAGACAGGAGAAUUGAGAGUUCAAAGCCAGCCUCAGCAACUUGGCAAGGCCCUCAGCAACUCAGUGAGACCCUGUCUCCAAAUACAAAAUAGGGCUGGGGGUUGUAGUUCAGUGGUCAAGUUCUCCUGAGUUCAAUCCCUGGUACCAUAAAAAAAAAUUUCAGGGAUGAGGGGCUGAGGAUAUAGCUCAGUUGGUAGAGUCCUUGCCUUGCAUGCACAAGGCCCUGGGUUUGACCCCCAGCACAAAAAAACAAAACAAACAAAAAUUUUUUUAAUUAAAAAAAAAAAAAAAAGAUUAAAAGAGUUGGGCUGGGGAUAUAGCAGAGUUGGUAGAGUGCUUGUCUCAUAUGCACUAAGACCCUGGUUCAAUCUCCAGCACCACACACACACAAAAAAAGAUUAAAAGGGUUGGAAUGGGACUGGGGUUGUGGCUUAGUGGUAGAGCGCUUGCCUAGCAUGUGUGAGGCACUGGGUUCGAUCCUCAGCACCACAUAAAAAUGAAUAGAUCAAAUAAAGAUUAUUGUGUCCAUCUAUAACUAAACUUUUUUUUUUCUUUAAAAAGGCUGGAAUAGAGAAAGAUUUCAGUUUUCUCUGUAACAUUCAACUUUGCUUCCAUGAUGAAUUUUAUUUAUUUAUUUAUGCAGUGCUAGGGAUAGAACCCAAGGCCAAGCACGUGCUGAGCAAAUGUGCUACCACUGAGCUACACCCCAGACUUUCCAUUUUGAGAUAUGGUCUUGCUAGGUUGCCUAGGCUACCUUGAAUUUGUGAUCCUCCUGCCUCAAUCCCCUGAGUAGCUGGGACUACAGGCAUGCACCACCACCUCUGGAUUUUGUCCAUUUAAUACCCAGUCACCCAAAUAAAAUUUCAGAAAAAUGGCUAGAAUUUUUUCAAACUUAGAAGCCAUAUUAAAGAUCAUCUGUCUUUAAAAUGUGAACUGUCUGGUACGGUGACACACUUGUGAAAUUCCAGUUCUUGGAAGGCUGAGGCAGGAGGACUAUAAGUUCAAGGCAGCCUGGGCAAUUUAGUGAGCCCCUAUCUUCAAAAAGAAAAAAAAGGGCUAGGGAUGUAGCUCAGUGGUAGAGCAUCCUUGGGUUCAG
This 6119-nucleotide long non-coding RNA is filed under the name Marmota monax (woodchuck). The stretch from base 5444 to 5512 matches the Rfam family "tRNA". The record is from RNAcentral. Lineage: Eukaryota; Metazoa; Chordata; Mammalia; Rodentia; Sciuridae.